CUUUGGUGCACUGCAAUUAUACAGGGCAAACUAACUUUAUUUUGUUCUGUUGUUGUGUUAUAACUUAGUACUGUGUUUGAUGAUCUCUGUCAGAUGAGAAGAUGAGGUGGAGGACAGUGGAGGAAGUUCCAUGGUGUAAUGGUCAUCACUCUGGGCUCUGGAUCCUGGUGUCCCUGGACUUAAUGGAGAUGAUAGGGGAUGAAAAGUUGUGUGCAUUUUUCUGACCACCAAGCCUGUCCUCCAGUACCCACCAACUUUAACCUCCACCAACAGUGCAUGUAUGAGGCCCCAGCUUCAGACUCUGACAUCUCCAUCAGUGUACUUCUUCAAGAAUUUAAACCCACCAGGACUAUCCAGAUUACAUUUAACUCUGUAAAUAAACAUUUUUCAGCCUGUUCAAUGUUAUAAAUGUUCUGUUUGGCCGUUAAAGGAGGUUUUCCUCACAUUUUGGUGUAUUUUAACCCUUUCAUGGUCUAAAUUCUUUGAACAGAUCUUGUGCUGUAAUCAAUGUCUAACUGAGUUUUUAUUUUCAUUGCAGUGGUUGAUUUUUCCUGAACAAGAUCAAUGAUUUUUUAAUACGUCUUUCUCCAGUUUUAUUUGCUCUACCUGUGGGUUUCAACUAUUAUAACUUUUUUCAUUUAAUAAAUGACUGAUAACACA
Acanthochromis polyacanthus (spiny chromis) is the source of this 660-nucleotide long non-coding RNA. RefSeq lists it as uncharacterized. The transcript has 2 exons. The record is from RefSeq and is a predicted model, not a curated record. NCBI's taxonomy places the organism in Eukaryota, Metazoa, Chordata, Actinopteri, Pomacentridae.